GCUGGCGGCGUGCUUAACACAUGCAAGUCGAACGGUAAUGCCCUUCGGGGUACACGAGUGGCGAACGGGUGAGUAACACGUGGGUAAUCUGCCCUGCACAUCGGGAUAAGCCUGGGAAACUGGGUCUAAUACCGAAUAGGACCACAGAACACAUGUCCUGUGGUGGAAAGCUUUUGCGGUGUGGGAUGGGCCCGCGGCCUAUCAGCUUGUUGGUGGGGUGAUGGCCCACCAAGGCGACGACGGGUAGCCGGCCUGAGAGGGGGUCCGGCCACACUGGGACUGAGAUACGGCCCAGACUCCUACGGGAGGCAGCAG
RNAcentral lists this ribosomal RNA (315 nucleotides) under uncultured Mycobacterium sp. RNAcentral describes it as "bacterial SSU rRNA". It matches the Rfam family "Bacterial small subunit ribosomal RNA", at positions 35 to 354 of the family's 1533-position model. Lineage: Bacteria; Bacillati; Actinomycetota; Actinomycetes; Mycobacteriales; Mycobacteriaceae. The record is from RNAcentral.